GAACCCCGGCGAGGGGAGUGAAAAAGAACCUGAAACCGUGUACGUACAAGCAGUGGGAGCACGCUUAGGCGUGUGACUGCGUACCUUUUGUAUAAUGGGUCAGCGACUUAUAUUCUGUAGCAAGGUUAACCGAAUAGGGGAGCCGAAGGGAAACCGAGUCUUAACUGGGCGUUAAGUUGCAGGGUAUAGACCCGAAACCCGGUGAUCUAGCCAUGGGCAGGUUGAAGGUUGGGUAACACUAACUGGAGGACCGAACCGACUAAUGUUGAAAAAUUAGCGGAUGACUUGUGGCUGGGGGUGAAAGGCCAAUCAAACCGGGAGAUAGCUGGUUCUCCCCGAAAGCUAUUUAGGUAGCGCCUCGUGAAUUCAUCUCCGGGGGUAGAGCACUGUUUCGGCAAGGGGGUCAUCCCGACUUACCAACCCGAUGCAAACUGCGAAUACCGGAGAAUGUUAUCACGGGAGACACACGGCGGGUGCUAA
This 480-nucleotide ribosomal RNA is filed under the name Escherichia coli. RNAcentral's name for it is "partial 23S ribosomal RNA". It matches the Rfam family "Bacterial large subunit ribosomal RNA", at positions 521 to 1001 of the family's 2925-position model. The record is from RNAcentral. Lineage: Bacteria; Pseudomonadati; Pseudomonadota; Gammaproteobacteria; Enterobacterales; Enterobacteriaceae.